CCAACGGCUCUUUUAAGAGCCACCCAAGCUUUCUC
This is a non-coding RNA of Buceros rhinoceros silvestris, 35 nucleotides long. NCBI's taxonomy places the organism in Eukaryota, Metazoa, Chordata, Aves, Bucerotiformes, Bucerotidae. The record is from Rfam.